This 253-nucleotide ribosomal RNA is filed under the name uncultured bacterium. RNAcentral's name for it is "partial 16S ribosomal RNA". It matches the Rfam family "Bacterial small subunit ribosomal RNA", at positions 524 to 776 of the family's 1533-position model. The record is from RNAcentral.
UCCGUAGGUGGCAAGCGUUAUCCGGAUUUAUUGGGCGUAAAGGGAACGCAGGCGGUCUUUUAAGUCUGAUGUGAAAGCCUUCGGCUUAACCGGAGUAGUGCAUUGGAAACUGGGAGACUUGAGUGCAGAAGAGGAGAGUGGAACUCCAUGUGUAGCGGUGAAAUGCGUGGAUAUAUGGAAGAACACCAGUGGCGAAGGCGGCUCUCUGGUCUGCAACUGACGCUGAGGCUCGAAAGCAUGGGUAGCGAACAGG